RNAcentral lists this ribosomal RNA (504 nucleotides) under uncultured bacterium. Its description in RNAcentral is "partial 16S ribosomal RNA". It matches the Rfam family "Bacterial small subunit ribosomal RNA", at positions 30 to 523 of the family's 1533-position model. The record is from RNAcentral.
AUUGAACGCUGGCGGCAGGCCUAACACAUGCAAGUCGAACGGUAGCACAGAGAGCUUGCUCUCGGGUGACGAGUGGCGGACGGGUGAGUAAUGUCUGGGAAACUGCCCGAUGGAGGGGGAUAACUACUGGAAACGGUAGCUAAUACCGCAUAACGUCGCAAGACCAAAGUGGGGGACCUUCGGGCCUCACACCAUCGGAUGUGCCCAGAUGGGAUUAGCUAGUAGGUGGGGUAAUGGCUCACCUAGGCGACGAUCCCUAGCUGGUCUGAGAGGAUGACCAGCCACACUGGAACUGAGACACGGUCCAGACUCCUACUGGAGGCAGCAGUGGGGAAUAUUGCACAAUGGGCGCAAGCCUGAUGCAGCCAUGCCGAGUGUAUGAAGAAGGCCUUCGGGUUGUAAAGUACUUUCAGUGGGGAGGAAGGCGGUGAAGUUAAUAGCUUCACCGAUUGACGUUACCCGCAGAAGAAGCACCGGCUAACUCCGUGCCAGCCGCCGCCGUAA